This is an RNA transcript of Magallana angulata, 1099 nucleotides long. It is a transcript of the gene named ankyrin repeat, PH and SEC7 domain containing protein secG-like, with no coding region annotated. The transcript is spliced from 6 exons. NCBI's taxonomy places the organism in Eukaryota, Metazoa, Mollusca, Bivalvia, Ostreida, Ostreidae. The record is from RefSeq and is a predicted model, not a curated record.
UUAGUUACAGAGACGCUUUCUUUCCAUUGGAAUGGCUAACAAUGGGCAACAGUUACACUCGGCCGUAAGAAAUAAAGACAAGGAGUCCAUAGAGAGGCUCCUGGACAGCGGGGCGGACGUAAACUGCAUGGUAUAUGGCUGGACGCCGCUACAGCUUUCUCUCCAAAGAGGGUAUGAGGAGGGGGCAGUAGUUCUGAUAGACAGAGGGUGCGAUGUUCAUCUCCAUGACAAGAACAGUGUUUCACCAUUUGAGGAAUGUCUACGCAAAAAUCUGAUAAAAGUACUCACUAAAAUUGUCAACAAAGGGGAGGAUGUAAAUGCUGUUCUAUCUAACGGGGAACCCCCUGUCUGUGAAGCCGUUAAAAACGCCAGCAAAGACGUCCUGUCUGUGCUGAUUAAAGUAGGGAAAUGUAACGUGAAUACCGUUGGGAGUAAAGGAGAGAGUCCUUUAUUUACCGCCGCCAAAUCUGGAUACAGCGACAUCUGUCGACUACUCCUCGACGCAGGCGCAGAUCCAGACUUCAUUCUACCAGCCAAUCAGCAUACGCCUCUCAUUACAGCUGCGAGUAACGACAAUGAUGAUGUCAUAAAAGUACUUUUGAAGCACGGAUGUAAUGUAAAUCAUUGUGACGUCAUGGGAAAGUCUGCGUUGUGGCACGCUUAUAGUAACAGCAACACGGACAGCAUGAAACUUCUACUUAGGGCGGGGUCAGACAAGAAUAUCCCGAACGCAGAGGGACAGACGCUAUUGGACGACGCAAAGGACGCAGAAGAUGAUGACGUCAUAGAACUCCUGACAAAGUUCACCCAGUCGUGGACUUAAAUAUUAAAAGUUCACAAAAGCGAGAAGACGAUCUCAGAUGUGUUCAGUAUUCUGUCAGGGGGCCUUUCUUCUGCGGUAACACUUCCGGCAGAUUACACAGGACUUCAAUCGUGACAGGAGAACUGAUACACAGCGGGUAAUUUAUUGAAUCGUGGGGAUAAAAACCAAAUGUCACGGGUAAAAGAAUAUAACCUUUCGACAAAAUCACUUCUCUUUGUGUGCGAAAAAAAAACUGAAAAGAUUUCGUGUAGAACUGUUUGUUAAUUAUCGUAAAUU